Dermochelys coriacea (leatherback sea turtle) is the source of this 426-nucleotide long non-coding RNA. RefSeq lists it as uncharacterized. The transcript has 3 exons. Lineage: Eukaryota; Metazoa; Chordata; Testudines; Dermochelyidae. The record is from RefSeq and is a predicted model, not a curated record.
AUGCCCUGAGGGGAUGCCUUGAGGGCAGGUGCGUUGCAGGGGGCCAUGUGCCCUGGGUGAGUUGGGAGAAGCUGAGUGUAGGAGCAGGAAGCAGGUUGUUGUCCCUAAGUCUGAAGCAUUUUGCAGCAGACACGUAACUGAGCAGUGGGUUAAUCCGUCGGCGGGCUGGCUGGCAGAGAUGUCAGCAGGGGUAGAGUCUCCCUGGAUUCCAGCAGAAGAGCCCUGCAAGCAAGGGGAGGGAAGGUGUUUUUAGAUCAGCAGAUUGUCUAGAUUUGGUGAUCAAAGACUCGAACGGAGACUUAGGUGAACUAACCCUACGCUUCUGGGAACCUUCUGUUUCUUCUCACGGUGUUUCUGUGUGGACUGAAAUGUUCAGACUUUAAUUUGUUUCCUUUAUUUAUGUUUCUGUAUAACUGUGAAGAUAAU